Hipposideros armiger (great roundleaf bat) is the source of this 767-nucleotide long non-coding RNA. RefSeq lists it as uncharacterized. NCBI's taxonomy places the organism in Eukaryota, Metazoa, Chordata, Mammalia, Chiroptera, Hipposideridae. The transcript is spliced from 3 exons. The record is from RefSeq and is a predicted model, not a curated record.
CGACCUACGGCGCUUGUGAGCGAUCCUGCCGCGCGAAGGUGCGACUGGGCAGCCCGCGCCCGGCGGACCUCUUAUCCACGGCCACGCCUGUGCGGGUGGCGACGUAACAGAGGCCCGACCGCCGACGUAGCCCGUUCAUUCAUUCGUUCGUUUCUUCAUUCCACGUUCCUGCCUUGCGCGCGGCGGGGGCUGGAGCUGCAGGGGACCGCUAUGGUCUCCGCGCGCUCCUUCCUCAAAGGGAGGAGAAGAGCAAAACUCAGUAGCAAAGCUCCCAACGGAACUAAGACUCCAGUGGAGAAGAGAGACAAACAAACAAUUAAUUACAAUCCAACGUGUUAAGGGCUAUAAUAGAAAUUCUUCCAAGACACUGUUUGAGUGCGGAGAGUCAUUAAUUGCUUGAGAAAUCAGAGAAGGCUUCCCAGAGAAAUGGAGUCCUAAAGGAUGAGAUCCACUGGACCUGUCUACCCUGCUCUCCGCCCAAGAAGUUGACCUGAAUGGACUACACUGCACGGAGGCUUCCUUGCCCUCUGUUUUCUGUUUGGUUUGGGCCCUGAGGAGCCCCUGCAGGAGGCGGUGGAGGGGAAGGAUGCGGAGGUCAAAUAAUUAUUACCCUGAGUUGCUCCUGGCAACCUCAGGCUGGCUCUGCCCUUCUACAGAUUACUGCUCCCCUCAAAGUAGCCAACUACAGGAUUCUCUCUUUCUGGGGUGCAGCACCUGCUCCUCCUCUCUUUGUCCCUUAUGGCCUGGAAGGAACAGCCAGUGUUACU